GCCGCGGUCGCAUAACCUGGUACGCGCUGGAAACCUGCGGUUUCCGCUGGCGUCCUUGCGCAGGACAUUGCGCUGGAUUGCUAAUCCAGUUUCCUUCGGGAUAUAUGGGUUCAAAUCCCAUCCGCGGCG
Molecule: transfer RNA, 129 nt
Filed under: Candidatus Woesearchaeota archaeon
Lineage: Archaea; Nanobdellati; Candidatus Woesearchaeota
Description: tRNA-Ser
Source: RNAcentral